GCCCCUCCUUGUCGGUCGGGGCGGGCCCGCUCUCCUAAAGCGGGUGCCGCAGGUUCGAAUCCUGCCGGGGCA
Molecule: transfer RNA, 72 nt
Filed under: Pseudonocardia sp.
Lineage: Bacteria; Bacillati; Actinomycetota; Actinomycetes; Pseudonocardiales; Pseudonocardiaceae
Description: tRNA-Arg
Source: RNAcentral